Pangasianodon hypophthalmus (striped catfish) is the source of this 280-nucleotide long non-coding RNA. RefSeq lists it as uncharacterized. The record is from RefSeq and is a predicted model, not a curated record. The transcript has 3 exons. Lineage: Eukaryota; Metazoa; Chordata; Actinopteri; Siluriformes; Pangasiidae.
CGAGGAAAACAGACACAACACCUCCAUCAGAACAGCCUCAGAGUAAAACAACAAACUCUCCACCUGCAUCAUCCUCAACAACACUGGAAGUGGGAAGAAGAGAAACUUCCACACAAUCGAGAAAAACAGACACAACACCUCCAUCAGAACAGCCUCAGAGUAAAACAACAAACUCUCCACCUGCGUCAUCCUCAACAACACUGAAAGUUUUCGGCAUCAUGGCGGUUUUACUGUUGGUGAUAGCUGGUGUAGUGGCAUUUAUUUGUUGGAGACGCAGAGG